AUGAUAUGCUAUCACAAAUAUAAUAGUGGUUCUACCAUGCCCACUUUCCAGUUACUAGUACUUAUCCAACUAAAGUGGCUAGAUAAGAAGAUGGACAAACUGAGAAGAGGUUUUGUGUGGACCGGUUGCACUGGGCGGCAAAUGCCUCGUCAACUGGACUCAGGCCUGUCGGCCUCUUGGGUACGGCGGCCUGGGAAUCCUGAACCUGGCCUUGCAUGCUGCUGCAAUGCUGCUCUCCGCAUCAGAUGGCUUUGGCAACAACACAAGUACCCGGACAAGCCUUGGGCUGAUCUGUCAUUCCACAGUGACGAUCUUGUUCUUGGUAUCUUCAUCGACAGCACUGCUGUUUUGAUCGGCUCCGGCGAGGCCACCUCCUUCUAG
Molecule: ribosomal RNA, 381 nt
Filed under: Triticum aestivum (bread wheat)
Lineage: Eukaryota; Viridiplantae; Streptophyta; Magnoliopsida; Poales; Poaceae
Description: partial small subunit ribosomal RNA
Source: RNAcentral